Long non-coding RNA from Gasterosteus aculeatus aculeatus (three-spined stickleback), 2210 nucleotides. Lineage: Eukaryota; Metazoa; Chordata; Actinopteri; Perciformes; Gasterosteidae. The record is from Ensembl.
AGGCAUUCCUUGGAAAUCUUUGUGCAAACUUCACUGUUUGUUUGUGAAGGACUUAUCAGCAGCCUGAAUGGUGUCAUGACUUGAGUGUGAGCUGAGGGAGACGGUGGUGGAAGUCAGUUACAAGCAGCUGCCCCGGAGUAGAAAGGAAGGUCUUCUGCUGCCCCCCAGGGGUUAGCGGAGGAGAUCACACACGGGCCUGCAGCCAGAAACUCCCUCAUUUGAGGUGUGAGAGCUUAAACACGUGUUUACGCUCAUGCUGAGGGAACCGUCUCAUGACACCAAACGUCGGCCGUGUGACAGCUGGAUGGGCCCCGGAGCCGUAGUCACUUCUCCCUCCGCUUCAAGCUGCUGCCGCCGGAUUAUCAGCGGCUGGGUUCCAUGUCGGCCGACCACAGGUUUUGAUAAGCAGCAUCGGCGGAAGAGAAAAAGUCAAAGGCGAGGAUGGGAAGUGACUCAUCCGCCUGUGUGCAACUGGUCAUUUACGAGGCAUGUGAGGGGCCCCCGGUGCCCGAGGUUGCUGACUGGCACUCUCUGGGGAUUCUGCAUCGGGCCUUUUUAAGGACACAUUUUGAUGCACUCGGUUACUCUGUGUAGUAUGUUGAGACCACUUAGAAAUGAAAAACACUGGCAAUGUAAAACCCAGAAAAGAGUUUUUUCCCCCUUCACAGAUCAACUCAAAUCAAAUAAAUAAACCUUGGGUUUCAACUGCAAGGUAACAAGGUGGUUAAGACUGAAAUUUCACAGAAAUAAUUUAAAUUCUCUUCACUGUGGAACAUCAAACAAGCCAACAGCAUCUCUCGAAUCCAAAAUAUAUAUUUUACAGUGCAUGUUAGAAAUGUUAACAUAAAAACAUGCGUCAUAAGACGAGAAGUGCGUUCAGUCCUUUUAACGAGCGUGUAUAUCUGUCACCGGUCCUUGAUGACGGGUCCGGGCAUCACUACCUGUUUAGUAUAUUCUAGUGCUGCGCCGGUGUUGCUGUAGCUGUGUGGGACGCGUAGCAUUUGUUGUCCUGCACGGUAUCUGCGGCACCCGUCCAGUUUGCCCUACUUCUGUGAUUAUGAUGACGAUACAAGUGUUCUCUGUUCUUUGUUUUAAAGUAUGCACACCUUAAAGUAUAUUUUAGAAUAAACAAGCUUGAUGGACAAAGACAUGAAUCUUGCAAUAGGAAAUUUGACCUUUUUAGACUCAUUGGCCUCUGUAUAUAACAAGCUCUGCUCCAGAACCGUUAUUUGCACGGACCAACCAUCCGUGUCUGAGAGCGCAGCCUUGUGCGCUAGGAAUAGAGAAGCCUUGUGAACAUUAAUGGCCGGGGAACAGUUAUGAAAAUAUUCCUUUCCUGCUGCCCCCAGUCAAAGAGAGGGCACAGGGCUGACUUGUUUUCGUCCGUUUUAACUCCCCCAGGUUAAAAUUCGAUGUAUAUUUAGGAGGAGAUUGAGCUAGAACAGGAGGAGAAGAAAAGCACGAAGAGGCUGUCUCUGUUAUUGGAGACAUCUGACUCAAUGUUCUCCAAAUGCCUGGACAUAUUUUAGCCAUAUUUAGCCACACUCAUGGUAAAUUUCACUUACGGUUAUUUAGAUACCAUCUUAAGUGACUAUUAGUAACAUUAAGCUUGAGAAAUAACCAUAUGACCCUCAUUUUGUUCUUUUAUGUGUUGCCGUGCUGCAGUGAGGCCCGAUGGACAGACGUGCGUUAUUUUAGUACCGCGGUUUGUGGUUAAAUGCGGACAUAAGCAUAUAUUAAUAAAACGCUUAGCACUACUUUGGUUACUGACCUGUGUAAAAAUCUUCUCAGAAUAAUAAAAAUAACAAAUCUCUUUAAUGUUUGUCAUGACAACUCCAAAUUAUGAAUCCCACAACACGCCCCGAUGGUCUGUAAUUAUUGUUCAACCUAGAGCCAAAUUAACUCUGUGUUCCUCGGCCAGUGGUGUGUGAUACGCUAUGAACAACCCGGAUGACUCUUCUAUUCUCGAGCUUCAAAGUGGGCAGAAAGGAGACAACGGGAGCCCACGAUGAUGAUUUUUCUCCACCAUCAUUUCCUCCGUGUAAAAAUGGAUACCCGCUGUCUGCUUCCGGUGGUCACGCGGGGUUGUGCGCUGUGCAAACAUUUUUCUCCGUUGGCUCCUUUUAUUUGUGGCAGCCGUGCGGCGGGGGUCACAUGGUUGGUGCUCACACGGCACUUGUUGCACAACCCGGUCUCACAGCAAAACGUGU